Molecule: long non-coding RNA, 533 nt
Organism: Eucalyptus grandis
Lineage: Eukaryota; Viridiplantae; Streptophyta; Magnoliopsida; Myrtales; Myrtaceae
Exons: 5
Source: RefSeq, a predicted model, not a curated record
CAGUACAACUUCAGCAGUUGUCCUCCUUUUUUGGCUUGUUCAACUGACGUGUCUAUGGAACAUUGCCACACAGGCUAGUUCAUGCAUCACAACCGAGCUGGCUUAUGUUUAAGAAUUGGUAAUUGGGGUCAUUGAUAUCAGCAGAACUAAGGAGAAAGGUCUGUGAUGAGUUGGACGAGCUAAGGCAAAUUUACGAGGAACUGCCUGAAUUUUUGGAGGAGGUUCCUGUCAUUUGAAGUCUCUGAUACAUCAAUUGUAAUGUAAGGAGAAAUGAGUCCACAUAAAUGUUUGUCUUGAUUGAAGUAGUGCAUCCAGGUGACAUCUCUGGAGCUUGCGCAUAUUCCUGACGUGUUUAAGGACAAACAUGUUCCAUGUAUUGUCUAUAUUCAACAAGUAGGGUACUUGAUGUGCAUUCUUGAAGAGAAACCUGAUGAAAUGACCUUAGCAAGGCUUGAAGAUUUUGAAUAUGUUAAACCAGAAGGAUGACUCAAUAAAUUCACUUAUUGACAGUUUCCAGGCCUUGAUUGCAAUCA